RNAcentral lists this ribosomal RNA (274 nucleotides) under uncultured bacterium. Its description in RNAcentral is "partial 16S ribosomal RNA". It matches the Rfam family "Bacterial small subunit ribosomal RNA", at positions 523 to 796 of the family's 1533-position model. The record is from RNAcentral.
AUACGGGGGGUGCAAGCGUUAUCCGGAAUCAUUGGGUUUAAAGGGUCCGUAGGCGGGCUAAUAAGUCAGGGGUGAAAUCCCACAGCUUAACUGUGGAACUGCCCUUGAUACUGUUGGUCUUGAGUUACAGUGAAGUGGUUAGAAUGUGUAGUGUAGCGGUGAAAUGCAUAGAGAUUACACAGAAUACCGAUUGCGAAGGCAGAUCACUAACUGUAUACUGACGCUAAUGGACGAAAGCGUGGGGAGCGAACAGGAUUAGAAACCCCGGUAGUCC